Molecule: ribosomal RNA, 401 nt
Filed under: uncultured bacterium
Lineage: Bacteria
Description: bacterial SSU rRNA
Rfam family: Bacterial small subunit ribosomal RNA
Source: RNAcentral
GAGGAAUUUUCGGCAAUGGGGGCAACCCUGACCGAGCAACGCCGCGUGCAGGAUGACGGCCUUCGGGUUGUAAACUGCUUUUCUCUGGGACGAGCAAGGACGGUACCAGAGGAAUCAGCCCCGGCUAACUACGUGCCAGCAGCCGCGGUAAUACGUAGGGGGCGAGCGUUGUCCGGAGUUACUGGGCGUAAAGCGCAUGCAGGCGGUUGUGUACGUUUGAGGUAACAGCUCCCGGCUCAACUGGGAGAGCGUCUCGAAAACGGCACGACUUGAGGGCUAAAGAGGGACAUGGAAUUCCGGGUGUAGUGGUGAAAUGCGUAGAUAUCCGGAGGAACACCAAUGGCGAAGGCAGUGUCCUGGUUAGCACCUGACGCUCAGAUGCGAAAGCUAGGGGAGCGAAC